This 581-nucleotide ribosomal RNA is filed under the name uncultured Alcaligenaceae bacterium. RNAcentral describes it as "bacterial SSU rRNA". It matches the Rfam family "Bacterial small subunit ribosomal RNA", at positions 102 to 679 of the family's 1533-position model. The record is from RNAcentral. Lineage: Bacteria; Pseudomonadati; Pseudomonadota; Betaproteobacteria; Burkholderiales; Alcaligenaceae.
ACGGGUGAGUAAUAUAUCGGAACGUGCCCAGUAGCGGGGGAUAACUACGCGAAAGCGUGGCUAAUACCGCAUACGCCCUACGGGGGAAAGGGGGGGAUCGCAAGACCUCUCACUAUUGGAGCGGCCGAUAUCAGAUUAGCUAGUUGGCGAGGUAAAGGCUCACCAAGGCGACGAUCUGUAGCUGGUUUGAGAGGACGACCAGCCACACUGGGACUGAGACACGGCCCAGACUCCUACGGGAGGCAGCAGUGGGGAAUUUUGGACAAUGGGGGAAACCCUGAUCCAGCCAUCCCGCGUGUGCGAUGAAGGCCUUCGGGUUGUAAAGCACUUUUGGCAGGGAAGAAACGGCGCUGACUAAUAUUCAGCGUCACUGACGGUACCUGCAGAAUAAGCACCGGCUAACUACGUGCCAGCAGCCGCGGUAAUACGUAGGGUGCAAGCGUUAAUCGGAAUUACUGGGCGUAAAGCGUGCGCAGGCGGUUCGGAAAGAAAGAUGUGAAAUCCCAGAGCUUAACUUUGGAACUGCAUUUUUAACUCCCGAGCUAGAGUAUGUCAGAGGGGGGUAGAAUUCCACGUGUAGC